GAUGAACGCUGGCGGCGUGCCUAAUACAUGCAAGUCGAGCGAACGGACGAGAAGCUUGCUUCUCUGAUGUUAGCGGCGGACGGGUGAGUAACACGUGGAUAACCUACCUAUAAGACUGGGAUAACUUCGGGAAACCGGAGCUAAUACCGGAUAAUAUUUUGAACCGCAUGGUUCAAUAGUGAAAGACGGUCUUGCUGUCACUUAUAGAUGGAUCCGCGCUGCAUUAGCUAGUUGGUAAGGUAACGGCUUACCAAGGCAACGAUGCAUAGCCGACCUGAGAGGGUGAUCGGCCACACUGGAACUGAGACACGGUCCAGACUCCUACGGGAGGCAGCAGUAGGGAAUCUUCCGCAAUGGGCGAAAGCCUGACGGAGCAACGCCGCGUGAGUGAUGAGGGUCUUCGGAUCGUAAAACUCUGUUAUUAGGGAAGAACAUAUGUGUAAGUAACUGUGCACAUCUUGACGGUACCUAAUCAGAAAGCCACGGCUAACUACGUG
This 497-nucleotide ribosomal RNA is filed under the name uncultured bacterium. RNAcentral describes it as "partial 16S ribosomal RNA". It matches the Rfam family "Bacterial small subunit ribosomal RNA", at positions 28 to 507 of the family's 1533-position model. The record is from RNAcentral.